Molecule: ribosomal RNA, 274 nt
Filed under: uncultured bacterium
Lineage: Bacteria
Description: partial 16S ribosomal RNA
Rfam family: Bacterial small subunit ribosomal RNA
Source: RNAcentral
AUACGGAGGGUGCAAGCGUUACUCGGAAUCACUGGGCGUAAAGCGCGCGCAGGCGGGCUGAUAAGUUGGAUGUGAAAGCCUACGGCUCAACCGUAGAACUGCAUCCAAAACUGUCAGUCUAGAGUGUGGGAGAGGAAGAUGGAAUUAGUUGUGUAGGGGUAAAAUCCGUAGAGAUAACUAGGAAUACCAAAAGCGAAGGCAAUCUUCUGGAACACUACUGACGCUGAGGCGCGAAAGCGUGGGGAGCAAACGGGAUUAGAAACCCUAGUAGUCC